This 1738-nucleotide long non-coding RNA is filed under the name Macaca mulatta (Rhesus monkey). RNAcentral describes it as "lncRNA (ENSMMUG00000059293.1)". Lineage: Eukaryota; Metazoa; Chordata; Mammalia; Primates; Cercopithecidae. The record is from RNAcentral.
UUUAAUGAAGAUAUUGCCUCACAGUUUGAGAACAACCAAAGUGAGUUCCAAAUCUAGAAUAAGGAAGUCUUCCUCUAAAUGAUUAGGUAGAAAGGGAGAUGAUGCUCAGCUAUCAAUGAGUAGGAUGCAGACUCAGACCUAAAGCACAAGAGUAGAGAGGGAGGCCUGUGUCUUCCUUUCCUGAAACAGCUCAGGAUACACGAAUCCUGGUGCUUAGAAAUGGCAAAACUGGCCCCUCUGCAAAGAAGUAGCCCAGAGGUUGUGAAUGUCAUAGAUUAUUCUGUAUCCAUGUCCUAGGAAUUCUGAAGAAUGAUAAGCAUCUCUAUGUAAGACAGAAGCAGAAGAAACCAGUUGGCAAACAUUCUAACCUGGGCUAUUCUUUCAUUUGCAGGGUUUUUGCAGUGCCAGGUGUGGAUUGAGAUUCAGCCUUUGUAAGACUUACUCACUGAAAACAGGAAUUUGCUUGGUUCCAAGCGCUAAGCAGAAACCCUGCCUGGCCUGAGUUUCCUCAUCUCCCUCAUCAACAUGUGAAAAAGGGACCAGUGAAAUCAUGAGUGCAGGACAACUUCAGGAAGUGCAAAGCCCUUGGUGCAAGAACAAAGUGUGCUUUGUACACUUGCUGGUGCCAUUUGUGGCUGAGAAGAACUUUCUCGGAUUGCUUUGGAAUGAUGAAGAGUGUGUCUCUCAUCCAAGAACUGAAAUGAUACCUUCAGCCCAGUUGAUGACCAUGUACCCGUUAUAAGUUUCAUGAAGACAGGAGCAGGACCUGUUUUGUACACCGCUGGAUCCUUGCUGCCUAGCACAACACCUGGCAUGUGGUAGGUACCCAAGAAAUAUUCCUUGAGUUAAGUAAGCGAAUGGUCUGAUAGAAUAAGAAAAAUUGUGCAGCAAGUAAUUAAGAACAUCGUAGUACAGACUGCAUACGAGUUCUAAAUCAAAUUAAGGGAAAAGUAGUAUAAUGAGCAGGAGCAUUUGGAAGAGAAAUUGAAAGAAGAACUUACCAGUACCCUCGGUGCUGGCAAACAUUUGGCAGAUUUGUUUGUUUGUUUGUUUUGAGACAGAGUCUUGCUCUGUCAACCAGGCUGAAGUGCAGUGGCGCGAUCUUAGCUCACUGCAACUUCCACCUCCCGGAUUCAAGCAAUUCUCCCACCUCAGCCUCCCGAGUAGCUGGGAUUACAGACACACACCACCACGCUUGGCUAAUUUUUGCAUUUUUUUAGUAGAGGCAGGGUUUUACCAUGUUAGCCAGGCCGGUCUUGAACUCCUGACCUUGUGAUCUGCCCACCUCAGCCUCCCAAAGUACUGGAAUUACAGACGUGAGCCACCGUGCCCCGCCAAGUUUGUGUGUGUGUAUAUAUAUAUAUAUAUAUAUAUAUAUAUAUAUAUUUUUUUUUUUUUUUUUUUUAACAUACAUUUAGGAGUUAGGAGUUUGGUCUUUUAUUGGUUUUUUUUGUUUUUUUGGUUUUUUUUUUUUUUUUUUUGAGCUUUCUAAGUCUUAGCUGAUGGUUUCUAAAUUAGAAUGGGAUAAAAAAUGUAAACUGGAAUUGAUUUAAUUAAUCUGUCAAACAAAUACAGACAGGAAAAACCUGUUAUGUGGACCCGUGUUAAAUGACACACAUGAAAAAUUUUAGUCCCGUGAGCUAUUGGUUACUUCCUCUAGUCCAGAUGAUUGUUUUUCCCUUGAAUUAAACACAUCUAAAUGUGUGUAAAAUUCUCUAGCAAAUAUGGUGACCACAUG